RNAcentral lists this ribosomal RNA (253 nucleotides) under uncultured bacterium. Its description in RNAcentral is "partial 16S ribosomal RNA". It matches the Rfam family "Bacterial small subunit ribosomal RNA", at positions 524 to 776 of the family's 1533-position model. The record is from RNAcentral.
UACGAAGGGGGCUAGCGUUGAUCGGAAUCACUGGGCGUAAAGCGCACGUAGGCGGAUUGCUAAGUCAGGGGUGAAAUCCUGGAGCUCAACUCCAGAACUGCCCUUGAUACUGGCGGUCUCGAGUCCGGGAGAGGUGAGUGGAACUGCGAGUGUAGAGGUGAAAUUCGUAGAUAUUCGCAAGAACACCAGUGGCGAAGGCGGCUCACUGGCCCGGUACUGACGCUGAGGUGCGAAAGCGUGGGGAGCAAACAGG